RNAcentral lists this ribosomal RNA (497 nucleotides) under uncultured bacterium. Its description in RNAcentral is "partial 16S ribosomal RNA". It matches the Rfam family "Bacterial small subunit ribosomal RNA", at positions 28 to 507 of the family's 1533-position model. The record is from RNAcentral.
GAUGAACGCUGGCGGCGUGCCUAAUACAUGCAAGUCGAGCGAACAGAUAAGGAGCUUGCUCCUUUGACGUUAGCGGCGGACGGGUGAGUAACACGUGGACAACCUACCUAUAAGACUGGGAUAACUUCGGGAAACCGGAGCUAAUACCGGAUAACAUAUUGAACCGCAUGGUUCAAUAGUGAAAGGCGGCUUUGCUGUCACUUAUAGAUGGAUCCGCGCCGUAUUAGCUAGUUGGUAAGGUAACGGCUUACCAAGGCAACGAUACGUAGCCGACCUGAGAGGGUGAUCGGCCACACUGGAACUGAGACACGGUCCAGACUCCUACGGGAGGCAGCAGUAGGGAAUCUUCCGCAAUGGGCGAAAGCCUGACGGAGCAACGCCGCGUGAGUGAUGAAGGUCUUCGGAUCGUAAAACUCUGUUAUCAGGGAAGAACAAAUGUGUAAGUAACUGUGCACAUCUUGACGGUACCUGAUCAGAAAGCCACGGCUAACUACGUG